RNAcentral lists this ribosomal RNA (468 nucleotides) under uncultured bacterium. RNAcentral's name for it is "partial 16S ribosomal RNA". It matches the Rfam family "Bacterial small subunit ribosomal RNA", at positions 28 to 507 of the family's 1533-position model. The record is from RNAcentral.
GACGAACGCUGGCGGCGUGCUUAACACAUGCAAGUCGAACGGAAAGGCCCUGCUUUUGUGGGGUGCUCGAGUGGCGAACGGGUGAGUAACACAUGAGUAACCUGCCCUUGACUUUGGGAUAACUUCAGGAAACUGGGGCUAAUACCGGAUAGGAGCUCCUGCUGCAUGGUGGGGGUUGGAAAGUUUCGGCGGUUGGGGAUGGACGGGCGGCUUAUCAGCUUGUUGGUUGGGUAGUGGCUUACCAAGGGUUUGACGGGUAGCCGGCCUGAGAGGGUGACCGGGCACAUUGGGACUGAGAGAGGGCCCAGAGUCGAACGUGAGACAACAGUGGGGAAUAUUGUACAGUGAGCGGGAGCCUGAGACGGAAGCCCCGGGGGCGGAAUGACGGCCUGCGGGUUAAGAAACGCUGUCGCCUGAGACGAAGCGGGAGUGACGGUAAUGAAUAAAGAAGCACCGGCUAACUUCGUG